RNAcentral lists this ribosomal RNA (501 nucleotides) under uncultured bacterium. RNAcentral's name for it is "partial 16S ribosomal RNA". It matches the Rfam family "Bacterial small subunit ribosomal RNA", at positions 28 to 507 of the family's 1533-position model. The record is from RNAcentral.
GACGAACGCUGGCGGCGUGCCUAAUACAUGCAAGUCGAGCGGACCGGCUUGGGGCUUGCCUUGAUUCGGUCAGCGGCGGACGGGUGAGUAACACGUGGGCAACCUGCCCGCAAGACCGGGAUAACUCCGGGAAACCGGAGCUAAUACCGGAUAACACCGAAGACCGCAUGGUCUUCGGUUGAAAGGCGGCCUUUGGGCUGUCACUUGCGGAUGGGCCCGCGGCGCAUUAGCUAGUUGGUGAGGUAACGGCUCACCAAGGCGACGAUGCGUAGCCGGCCUGAGAGGGUGACCGGCCAAACUGGGACUGAGACACGGCCCAGACUCCUACGGGAGGCAGCAGUAGGGAAUCUUCCGCAAUGGGCGAAAGCCUGACGGAGCGACGCCGCGUGAGCGAAGAAGGCCUUCGGGUCGUAAAGCUCUGUUGUGAGGGACGAAGGAGCGUCGUUCGAAGAGGGCGGCGCGGUGACGGUACCUCACGAGAAAGCCCCGGCUAACUACGUG